RNAcentral lists this ribosomal RNA (506 nucleotides) under uncultured bacterium. RNAcentral's name for it is "partial 16S ribosomal RNA". It matches the Rfam family "Bacterial small subunit ribosomal RNA", at positions 29 to 523 of the family's 1533-position model. The record is from RNAcentral.
AGUGAACGCUGGCGGUAGGCCUAACACAUGCAAGUCGAACGGCAGCACAGAGGAGCUUGCUCCUUGGGUGGCGAGUGGCGGACGGGUGAGGAAUACAUCGGAAUCUACUCUGUCGUGGGGGAUAACGUAGGGAAACUUACGCUAAUACCGCAUACGACCUACGGGUGAAAGCAGGGGAUCUUCGGACCUUGCGCGAGUGGAUGAGCCGAUGUCGGAUUAGCUAGUUGGCGGGGUAAAGGCCCACCAAGGCGACGAUCCGUAGCUGGUCUGAGGGGGUGAUGAGCCAGACUGGAAGUGAGACACGGGCCAGACUCCUACGGGGGGCAGCAGUGGGGAAUAUGGGACAAUGGGCGCAAGCCUGAUCCAGCCAUACCGCGUGGGUGAAGAAGGCCUUCGGGUUGUAAAGCCCUUUUGUUGGGAAAGAAAUCCAGCUGGUUAAUACCCGGUUGGGAUGACGGUACCCAAAGAAUAAGCACCGGCUAACUUCGUGCCAGCCGCCGCCGUAA